This 326-nucleotide ribosomal RNA is filed under the name uncultured eukaryote. RNAcentral's name for it is "partial 18S ribosomal RNA". It matches the Rfam family "Eukaryotic small subunit ribosomal RNA", at positions 1470 to 1796 of the family's 1831-position model. The record is from RNAcentral.
CCCUUAGAUGUUCUGGGCCGCACGCGCGCUACACUGAUGCAUUCAACAAGCCUAGCCUUGACCGAGAGGUCCGGGUAAUCUUUGAAACUGCAUCGUGAUGGGGCUAGAUUAUUGCAAUUAUUAAUCUUCAACGAGGAAUGCCUAGUAAGCGUGAUUCAUCAAAUCGCGUUGAUUACGUCCCUGCCCUUUGUACACACCGCCCGUCGCUCCUACCGAUUGAAUGUGUUGGUGAGGAGCUCGGAUUGGCAGCAGUUGGUGGUUCGCCACCGGCUAUUGCUGAGAAGUCCUCCAAACCGCNCNAUUUAGNGGAAGGAGAANUCGUANCA